GCGGCCGUGAUGUAACAGGCAGCCAUGCUGGUUUUAGGUACCAGUGGGGGUAAUUCCCCGUGAGGGUUCGAGUCCCUCCGGCCGCA
RNAcentral lists this transfer RNA (86 nucleotides) under Streptomyces rimosus. Its description in RNAcentral is "tRNA-Leu". It matches the Rfam family "tRNA". From Rfam's summary of the family: Transfer RNA (tRNA) molecules are approximately 80 nucleotides in length. Their secondary structure includes four short double-helical elements and three loops (D, anti-codon, and T loops). RNAcentral also lists the same sequence under 2 other names. The record is from RNAcentral. Lineage: Bacteria; Bacillati; Actinomycetota; Actinomycetes; Kitasatosporales; Streptomycetaceae.